GGCGCACGGUGGCUUAGUGGUUAGCAUGUUCUUCUCACACCUCCAAGGUCGGGGGUUCGAUUCCCACCGUGGCCC
This is a non-coding RNA of Ameiurus melas (black bullhead), 75 nucleotides long. The record is from the annotation of a GenBank genome assembly. NCBI's taxonomy places the organism in Eukaryota, Metazoa, Chordata, Actinopteri, Siluriformes, Ictaluridae.